GGUCAACAAACUGCACGCAAUUCAUCAUUGGAGGAUAGGUCGAGGAUAAAAUAUGUGCAGGGACAUAUCCAAGCUUUGCUUGAAGCUGUAAGGAAUGGAUCAAAUGCCAGAGGCUAUUUUAUAUGGUCCUUCUUGGACUCCCUUGAGCUAUUGGGCGGCUAUGAAUCAAGCUUUGGCCUAUACUACAUGGAUUUGGACGACCCUGAUUUAAAAAGACAACCCAAACUCUCUGCUCAUUGGUACUCCCAAUUUCUAAAGAGCAAGAACCUCACCAGCUUAGAUGGAUUUCUUGAAUCCCUUUCCCAUGGUUACCAUUCUCAGUAAACUUUAUUUUACAUAGUAAAAUACUUAUGUUUAGAGCUUGUAGCUUAAGUGGUUAAGAGCACAUACCCCUCUCCUCCAAUAUUGCUUGUAUCCAAAAUAAUUAUGCAACAUUAAGAUACAUCACUUUCAGUGGCGAAGCGAAGAAUUAUGUCAAGGAGGGUCAACUUUAAAUAGUUUUAUAAUUACAAUGAACUUAGUUUUUAUAGGAAAA
Non-coding RNA from Prunus avium (sweet cherry), 535 nucleotides. The record is from RefSeq and is a predicted model, not a curated record. Lineage: Eukaryota; Viridiplantae; Streptophyta; Magnoliopsida; Rosales; Rosaceae.